Molecule: long non-coding RNA, 657 nt
Organism: Oncorhynchus gorbuscha (pink salmon)
Lineage: Eukaryota; Metazoa; Chordata; Actinopteri; Salmoniformes; Salmonidae
Exons: 3
Source: RefSeq, a predicted model, not a curated record
GGUAUUUGUUCUUUGUGCUUUAGGACACAUGGCAAAAUGCUUCUGCUGUUUCUGAGUCUCGGUUUGUUCACUUCUAAUGUCCAGUCAGAAAAACAAGGGGUUAAUGUAACGUGUGAAAAUCAAUCGGUUGUAGCAGGACAGAACCACAACCUGACAUGUAGAGUGGAUUACAGUGAUGCAGAUCAGAAUAAGAAGGGUGAUGUAGGUAACAGCGAGACGGGAUGUAAAACUGAAAAGUAUUUCUGGAAGGAUAAAUCAAAAACUCCAAUACGAAAUUGUGAUUGUACAAAAGAUUGUAACACUACGAUAACAACCAACACCUACUUUUGUGAGAUCAAAAAUGUUACGAAAGCUGAUGAGGGAAACUAUACUUUUACCAUUAACACAAACUGUGGCAACGGACAUGGCACAUUGAAUGUUUCCGUUACAUCGAGAAAUAAGAAACCAGAGCUGUUCAAAGGAGGAUCGUCAGGUCACAUGUCACCAUUAUCAUCACUGUUCUGGGUGGUCUACUGUUUCUCAUCUCUUCUGGUUGUGGCAGAAGAUUGAUGGGUCGACUUAAGUUCCUUAAGAAAAAUGACAACACUGACCAGAGCCCUGAAGCUACCAGAAAGGCUCUAAACCUGGAGCCUGGAAAACAUUCAGUCCAUGGAGGAG